RNAcentral lists this ribosomal RNA (269 nucleotides) under uncultured prokaryote. Its description in RNAcentral is "partial 16S ribosomal RNA". It matches the Rfam family "Bacterial small subunit ribosomal RNA", at positions 524 to 792 of the family's 1533-position model. The record is from RNAcentral.
UACGUAGGGAGCAAGCGUUGUUCGGAAUCAUUGGGCGUAAAGAGCGCGUAGGUGGUUUGUUAAGUCUGGUGUGAAAGCCCAGAGCUCAACUCUGGAACUGCAUCAGAAACUGCCAAACUUGAGUGUGGGAGAGGAGAGUGGAAUUCCCAGUGUAGAGGUGAAAUUCGUAGAUAUUGGGAGGAACACCGGUGGCGAAGGCGGCUCUCUGGACCACAACUGACACUGAGGCGCGAAAGCUAGGGGAGCGAACGGGAUUAGAUACCCCCGUA